Molecule: ribosomal RNA, 494 nt
Filed under: uncultured bacterium
Lineage: Bacteria
Description: partial 16S ribosomal RNA
Rfam family: Bacterial small subunit ribosomal RNA
Source: RNAcentral
GACGAACGCUGGCGGCGUGCUUAACACAUGCAAGUCGAACGGUGAAGCGCCUUCCUUUUUGGUGGGUGUGGAUGAGUGGCGAACGGGUGAGUAACACGUGAGUAACCUGCCCCCUUCUUCUGGAUAACCGCAUGAAAGUGUUGCUAAUACGGGAUAUUCUGGGUCUGUCGCAUGAUGGGUCUGGGAAAGAUAUUGUUUCGGUGGGGGAUGGGCUCGCGGCCUAUCAGCUUGUUGGUUGGGUGAUGGCCUACCAAGGCGGUGACGGGUAGCCGGCCUGAGAGGGUGGACGGUCACACUGGGACUGAGACACGGCCCAGACUCCUACGGGAGGCAGCAGUGGGGAAUAUGGCACAAUGGGCGCAAGCCUGAUGCAGCGACGCCGCGUGAGGGAUGGAGGCCUGCGGGUUGUGAACCUCUUUCGCCAGUGAAGCAGGCCUGCCUCGUUUGUGGGUGGGUUGACGGUAGCUGGAGAAGAAGCGCCGGCUAACUACGUG